CGCGGCCUAUCAGCUUGUUGGUGGGGUAACGGCCCACCAAGGCAACGACGGGUAGCUGGUUUGAGAGAAUGAUCUGUACACUGGAACUGAGACACUGUCCAGACUUCUACGGAAGGCUGCAGUAGGGAAUCUUGCGCAAUGGGCGAAAGCCUGACGCAGCGACGCCGCGUGCGGGAUGACGGCCCUAGUGGUUGUAAACCGCUUUCCGCAGGGAGAAAGAUGACGGUACCUGCAUAAGAAGUCCCGGCUAACUACGUGCCAGAAGCCGCGGUAACUCCGUGGGACAAGCGUUGUCCGGAUUCAUUGUGCGAAAAGAGCUCGUAAGCGGUUCACAUAGUUGGGUGUGAAAGCUCCGGGCUCAAGCCAGAGAGGUCACUCAAUAUUGCUGUGACUACUGUCUUGUAGAGGAGCUGGGAACUCCAGGUGUAGGGAGAAAAUGCCUCCAGAUGAAGAAGAACACCGGCUGCAAAUGCGGAGCUCUGGGCUGGUACUGAGCCUGACUCUGGAACAUUUGUGAAGCUAACGAGAUUAAAUUCCCUGAUAGUACAUGACUAAAUCCUUGGGCACUAGGUGUGGUGAGGAAUCGACCCUCGCCAUGCCGCAGCUUGUGCAUUCCCUGCCCCGCCUGAUGAGUACAGAGUCUCUACA
Molecule: ribosomal RNA, 648 nt
Filed under: uncultured bacterium
Lineage: Bacteria
Description: bacterial SSU rRNA
Rfam family: Bacterial small subunit ribosomal RNA
Source: RNAcentral